Acinonyx jubatus (cheetah) is the source of this 2785-nucleotide long non-coding RNA. RefSeq lists it as uncharacterized. Lineage: Eukaryota; Metazoa; Chordata; Mammalia; Carnivora; Felidae. The transcript has 3 exons. The record is from RefSeq and is a predicted model, not a curated record.
UGUAGCCUGCAGAUGCCUUGAGGUCUUGGUUUUUUUGCAAGAAAGACUUAUUCUUUUCCUUUUUCAAAAAUUUUUUUAACGUUUAUUUACUUUUUGAGAGAAAGAAAGAGAGAGACAGAGCAUGAGUGGGGGAGGGGCAGAGAGAGAGGGAGACACAGAUCCGAAGCAGGAUUCAGGCUCUGAGCUGUCAGCACAGAGCCUGACGUGGGGCUCGAACCCACAAGCUGCGAGAUCACGACCUGAGCCGAAGCCAGACGCUUAACUGACCGAGCCAGCCAGGCGCCCCGAAAGUCUUUUUCUUUUCAGGCCUCCUGUGUCUCAGAUGGAGAUUUUCUCAUGGCAUCAGGACCUCUGAUUUAGCAGGAACCUGUGAGGGAAUGUUAAGUGAAGCCCUUCCAGUGUUGGAAGAUCUAGCCUAGAAAUUCUGAAAAACGCAAGCCAUCCAUCUGGAGGCUCAAAUUGAUGCUCGCCGACAACCAUCGCUGGCUUUUCAGAGCAAGGUUUAUUUAUUUUGAAAAAGAGAGAGCGAGAAAAACAGAGUGCAAGCAGGGGAGCGGCAGCGAGGGAGAGAGAGAAUCCCAAGCAGGCUCCGCACUGUCCCGUCGGCGGGGAGCCUCACUUAGGCUCGACCUCACGGACCGUGAGGUCAUGACCUGAGCCAAAAUCAAGAGUCGGACGCUCAACCGCCUGAGCCACCCAGACGCCCGGAGAACCUGUAGUUUAACAAGAUCCCCAGAUGAUUCAUAUGUGUGUUAAUGUUUGAUAGACCUGUAGGCCGGGUUGUCCUGUAACUGUGUCUUCCAGCAAAAGUCCUAGAGAGCAGCACAGGACAGGUGAGUGGUGCUCAUACAGAGUGACGCUGAGCCACGACUGAUUCGCGUCUGGCUGUGGCCUGUUCUCUUUCAAGGGCAGCAUGGGGAGGGGAGCUGCCAUGUGACCAGGACCCCCAAGGGAAGUGUGAGCGUCAGCAGAUAUACAGGGGAGACGUGGGAGGGUCCCGGUCCUCGAUGAAAUGUGUCUCCCACUCAGCGCAGCUACAGACCCAGAGCAGAGCACAAUGGAGCAGCUGUGGGCACUUCUGAGAAGUGGCAGCAGGCAGAUUGGGGAGGGAGACCAGAAAUCCAAGUGCCACUGAACCAGCAGUGAGUUUCCCACUUGUUUGACAGUGUAUCCGCAGUCUGGAUUGGGGGCAGCCCCGAACUUGGAAGUGCACGUGUGUGGAUUGAAAGAUCUCCCUCUAGUUCCGGCUCAAGGUGAAGUUAACACGGGGGGCUGUUCUUUAUCCUUCCUUUCACCAUUCUCUCACAGCGGGCCCCCAGGCGAUCAGAGCAGUGGCAGUGACAGCGGGGACAGGGCCCCUUUCCUCUCUGUUGGGAGGAGUUGUUUCUCCGAAGAAUGGGGGCGACCCAUUCCUUUUUUUCUCUCUGUUUCCCACCACUUGGCCCUGAAUGUGGACACAUGUAUGGGAGGUGAACAGCACAGUAGGAUAAAUAGAGCACUAGCUCUCUGUCCAGAGGACGGCCAAGGGGAGCCAGAGUGCUAGAAAGUGCGAGGGAGGUGGCGAAAAGGGAGGAACUUGGGCAAACGGCCCCACCAAGCUGUUCAGAAACUGCUGGGCUCAACCCUGUGCUGUGCAUUGGAUCUGCCCUUAAACAGCACACCGAAGACUCUGAGAACCGAAUUAAGGGGUAGACCACCACCCAAGUCCCAGAUGGACAGCAGCCUCCCAGCCCCCACGGGGGGAACACCCAUGGGGAAAGGCUGCGUCCCUCCGAAGAUUCUGAAAACAAGACAACACUGAAACUACAACCGACAGAAGGCUGGCAGACCUGUCAGCCUGAAUCCGUCUGGGUUGAUCGUCUAUGAAAACACAAAUACCAACCUUUACAUAACAUGGAAACAAAACCCAGGUCGUGUAACGUAUCGUUCAAAACUGCCGGGAUACCAUCCAAUAUCACUCUGUGUAUUCAUUUUCUAUAGCUAGAGACAAGUGGCCACAAACUUAGUGGCUUCAAACAAUACCCUCUUUUUUUUUUUUUUUUUUUUAAUUUUAAAGUUUUGUUACAUCCGAAGUCCAAAAUCAGUCUCACUGGGCUAAGGUCCAGGUGUGGGCAGCGCUGGCUCCUUUUGGAGGCUCUGUGGGAGAAUUGUUUCCUUGCCUUUUCCAGCUUUGAGCGGCUGCCCACACUCCUUGACUCAUGGACCCCUUGCUCUGUCUUCAAAGCAAGCAACUGAACAUUCCUCCGACCCUUCUUCCAUAGCCAUAUCCCUUUCUGACCACAGCCAGGAAACAUGCUCUGCUUUUAAAGAUGCUUGUGAUUAUAGUUGGCCCGCCAGUAAAUCUUUCCAUCUCAAGGUCAGCUGAUAAGCAAUUUUAAUAGUGUCUGCGACCUCACUUCCUUCUGCCCUGCAAUGUAACAUAGUCACAGUUUCCGGGAACAAGAACAAGGACAUCUUUGAGGGAGACUUUAUUCUGCCUACCACCCUCAGCAUACGAAGAGCCAUCAAAUCUCAGCUCACAUGAAAACAGACAAUCAACAGACGCCGGCACCAAAAGGAUGCAGAUGUUGGCAUUUUCCGGCAAGGACUUUCAAGCAGCUAUUAUAAAAUAUUCCAAGAACGAAGGGAGAGCACUCUUGAAAUGAAUGGAGAGAUGGAAAGUCUUAGCAGGGAAAGAUAAAGGGUAAAGGAUAGCCAGAUAUAAAUUUUAGAAUUAAAACACGCAAUAAACAAAAUUUCAAAGCCUGAUGGAUAUACUAAUAGAAAUUAUUCAGUCUAAACAACA